GUGCCAGCAGCCGCGGUAAUACGUGGGGGGCAAGCGUUAUCCGGAUUUACUGGGUGUAAAGGGAGCGUAGACGGCAAGACAAGUCAGAAGUGAAACCCUAUCGCUCAACGAUAGGCAUGCUUUUGAAACUGUGAUGCUAGAGUGUAGGAGAGGUAAGUGGAAUUCCUAGUGUAGCGGUGAAAUGCGUAAAGAUUAGGAGGAACACCAGUGGCGAAGGCGGCUUACUGGACUGUAACUGACGUUGAGGCUCGAAAGCGUGGGGAGCAAACAGGAUUAGAUACCCUGGUAGUCCACGCGGUAAACGAUGAAUACUAGGUGUUGGGGUCCAAAGGACUUCGGUGCCGUAGCAAACGCAAUAAGUAUUCCACCUGGGGAGUACGUUCGCAAGAAUGAAACUCAAAGGUAUUGACGGGGACCCGCACAAGCGGUGGAGCAUGUGGUUUUAUUCGAAGCAACGCGAAGAACCUUACCAGGUCUUGACAUCUCCCUGACAGCACUUGUAAUGAGUGUUACCUUCGGGACAGAGAAGACAGGUGGUGCAUGGUUGUCGUCGGCUCGUGUCGUGAGAUGUUGGGUUAAGUCCCGCAACGAGCGCAACCCUUAUGAUCAGUAGCCAGCAGGUAAAGCUGGGAACUCUGAUGAGACUGCCGAGGAGAACUCGGAGGAAGGUGGGGAUGACGUCAAUCAUCAUGCCCCUUAUGAUCUGGGGCUACACACGUGCUACAAUGGCAGAAACAAAGAGAAAGCGAAGCCGUGAGGUGAAGCAAAUCUCAGAACAUCCGUCUCAGUUCGGAUUGUAGUCUGCAACUCGACUACAUGAAGCUGGAAUCGCUAGUAAUCGCAAAUCAGCAUGUU
Molecule: ribosomal RNA, 855 nt
Filed under: uncultured bacterium
Lineage: Bacteria
Description: bacterial SSU rRNA
Rfam family: Bacterial small subunit ribosomal RNA
Source: RNAcentral